AAGAUAUGAAAAAGGAUUAAAAAAGAAAUAAGGAAAUGGAGGGCUUCGGUUCCUUUCCCUCUAAUAUACAUUGCAGUGUUUUUUUGGAAGCAAAUCAAAGGAUAUGUGGUGGAAAGCUUACCGAACGAAGUAUCUCCGGCGGCUCUUCAAAAUUGGCGUUGGUGGAUAAAGUUCAGAACCCUUUUCCUUCUUGUUCAGGUAAGUGUAUCUCCUUUCUCUGAACUUGAUGCUUGUUUCCUCUUCUUCCCCUUCUUUGAGUUUGUUGUUUGAAUGCAUGCUAGAGUAGAGUAUGAAUUUGAGUUAGUGAGUUGAAUUGAAUGUUGAAUGAAUGAUGUUAGUUAGAGUUGUUAGUAUGAAUUUUUUAUUUGAAUUGCAGUUAGUGAAUAAAAUAGUUAGUGAGGUUAGGAAAAAAUGAGUUAAUGAUAGACUGUUAACUGAUGUGAAAAAUAGUUAAGAGUUCAAAUGUAGUUGAUAUUAGAGUUAGUUAAUUGAAUGAAUGAAUUAGUUAGUAAUACUAACAGUUAUUGAAUUGAAUUUUAAAGUCAGUUUAGGAAAAUAUUGAAAUGUUAGAUUUUAUAGGUUAGUUGUAGUUAGCUAACGGAUUUUGGAAUAUUGAAGUUAGUGUAAUGUUAUCAAUGCUGAAUGCUUUUGCUAAACUGAUGAUAUCCACUGAAAUUGAAAUCAAAGUGAACCAUUAACUAGUUUGGAGGCUAAUUGUGUCACUUAUGUAUGGACCUGAAAUUAGGAUGGUGGUUACCAAGACGUGGCUAGUUGGGUUUGAAGUGAAAGAAACACGCUUGGUGGAAAGAUUAGAGUGCUAUACUUGUGAAUUAAAUGUUAGUUACAUGAUUGUGGACAUGGAUGUGAGCUUGUGACAUUUAGCAUUUACAUAACAAGGUACGUUAGUCAUUGGAUACUUAUGACUUGUUAUGAUUUGUUAGUAGGAUUAGUGGUCUACAUGGUUGUGUUAUGUUGUUGAAUGGAAUGACAUGGAAACUAAACAUACUAGUUAUUGUUAGUUUGUUAUGGACAAACUGGCAUAUGUUAAUGAACUGCUAGGUAGAUGUAGAUUGAAAUUGUUGAAUUGGUAUAGUAUUAAUGCUAAUGGGAAGUGAAUUGGUUAAUUGGUUAAAUGGUAUAAAUGUGUAAAGAGAAUUAGUGUUGUAAAUGUGUAGAAAAUCAUGAAUGUUGUUAGAAUUAAAUAUGUUCAUUGAUUGUAGUGAUUAUUGAACCGAAAUUCACUUGUUAUGUUACCUUGCCUUAGGUUUUCGCAAUUGUGGAUGUGUAUGAACUAUUUUGCGGGACUUGUGGGAUUAAGGACCAAAGUUGGCAUGGGUUGCCCAUGAAGAAAGUUGGUGCAUCAUGAUAGAGUUUUGGAGUGGAAAUGAAGAAAGAUGGGAUAUCAAGGUGGGCAUCAUGAAGAUCAAGAAAUAAAUAGGUCUAAGGUUAAGUUGACUUUGGACAACUGUUUGACCAAAAGUCAAUAGUUGACUAAAAAGUCAAUUUUAUGUCAAAUUUAGGGUUUUUUGCAUGUGCUUUGUAAAUUUGGAUCCUGUAAUGAAAUAUUUGAUGCUUUUUGUAAUGUUUGAAGAUUUCGUAAUAAAAUUGGUCUCUUUGUAUGCAA
RNAcentral lists this long non-coding RNA (1624 nucleotides) under Lathyrus oleraceus (garden pea). RNAcentral's name for it is "Pisum sativum (pea) long non-coding RNA (PSAT_LNC019931)". Lineage: Eukaryota; Viridiplantae; Streptophyta; Magnoliopsida; Fabales; Fabaceae. The record is from RNAcentral.